AGCUCCAAUAGCGUAUAUUAAAGUUGUUGCAGUUAAAAAGCUCGUAGUUGAAUUUCGGAGGAGAGUACCUGGUGUCACUUCGGUGACCACUAGGUGACUUGAUUCUUUUUUCUGGGGAAGCAGUGUGCCCUUCACUGGGUGCGCUGGGGAACCAGAACGAUUACCUUGAGAAAAAUAGAGUGUUCAAAGCAGGCGCAUAUGCUUGAAUACGUUAGCAUGGAAUAAUAAAAUAGGACGUUGGUUUCUAUUUUGUUGGUUUUAAAGACCAAUGUCAUGAUGAAUAGGGACAGUUGGGGGCAUUAGUAUUUCGAAGCUAGAGGUGAAAUUCUUGGAUUUUCGAAAGACUAACUACUGCGAAAGCAUUUGCCAAGGAUGUUUUCA
RNAcentral lists this ribosomal RNA (381 nucleotides) under uncultured eukaryote. RNAcentral's name for it is "SSU rRNA". It matches the Rfam family "Eukaryotic small subunit ribosomal RNA", at positions 587 to 972 of the family's 1831-position model. The record is from RNAcentral.